Molecule: long non-coding RNA, 855 nt
Filed under: Homo sapiens (human)
Lineage: Eukaryota; Metazoa; Chordata; Mammalia; Primates; Hominidae
Description: HSALNT0079797
Source: RNAcentral
GAUUGAUACAUGGUGAUAUGGUUUGGCUGUGUCUCCACACAAAUCUCGUCUUGAAUUGCAGCUCCCAUAAUUCCCACCUGUUGUGGGAGGGACCCUGUGGGAGAUAAUUGAAUCACGGGGGCAGUUUCCCCCAUACUGUUCUCAUGGUAGUGAGUAAGUCUCACCAGAUCUGAUGGUUUUAUAAGGGGAAACCCCUUUGGCUUGGUUCUUAUUCUUUCUUUUGUCUGCUGCCAUGUCAGAUGUGCCUUUUGCCUUUUGCCAUAAUUGUGAGGCCUCCUCAGCCGUGUGGCACUUCCCACAGACAGGAACCAAAGCCAGCAGAACAAAGCAGCCCCAGAUGUGUUCUACUCUAUUAUCUGAAGUAAAUGAAAAUCAACCCUGAGGUAGAGAACCUCCUUCUACUACCAUCAAAGUCCUUGAUCUGUUUCCCAACAUGAAUUAACCUUUCCAUGUUUUCGUUACAUUUGAACAUCAGGAAUGUGUAGACGGAAGCAGUUCAUCCUGGGAGGUGAGAAUGAGCAUUGAAAGAGCCAUCCGUGAAACCGUAAGGCUGGGAAAGAGAAGUGAAGGGGCACAUGGAAGUGUUCAUCUCUGGGGCAGGGAAAAACAAUCCGGAGAAGAUGAGUCACACCUCAUUUGUAACCCAUGAAUGAAAAUCAAUACUGUUACUUAUCAUAAAUUACACUGAACAUAGUGCUUACACUUGAGUAUCAAUGCAGUAAAACCACUAUGAGCCAAUUGAUUGACUUUUCUAGAUCCCAAUUCUAUCAUUCAUCUUCUGGUAUUCAUCUUCUGGCUUAGCUACUAUUUCCUGGCACAGAUUCUUAAUAAAGAUCCUUUCUCCUUGGUCCCAGA